UACGUAGGUGGCAAGCGUUGUCCGGAUUUACUGGGCGUAAAGAGCGCGCAGGCGGUCGUUCAAGUCGCGUGUGAAAGCCCCCGGCUCAACUGGGGAGGGUCACGCGAUACUGAUCGACUCGAAGGCAGGAGAGGGUAGUGGAAUUCCCGGUGUAGUGGUGAAAUGCGUAGAUAUCCGGAGGAACACCAGUGGCGAAGGCGACACGCUGGGCCGUACCUGACACUGAUGCGCGACAGCAUGGGGAGCAAACAGG
RNAcentral lists this ribosomal RNA (253 nucleotides) under uncultured bacterium. Its description in RNAcentral is "partial 16S ribosomal RNA". It matches the Rfam family "Bacterial small subunit ribosomal RNA", at positions 524 to 776 of the family's 1533-position model. The record is from RNAcentral.